RNAcentral lists this ribosomal RNA (524 nucleotides) under Fusarium proliferatum. RNAcentral's name for it is "eukaryotic LSU rRNA". The stretch from base 144 to 297 matches the Rfam family "5.8S ribosomal RNA". Lineage: Eukaryota; Fungi; Ascomycota; Sordariomycetes; Hypocreales; Nectriaceae. The record is from RNAcentral.
AUUGGACUAACUCCAACCCCUGUGACAUACCAAUUGUUGCCUCGGCGGAUCAGCCCGCUCCCGGUAAAACGGGACGGCCCGCCAGAGGACCCCUAAACUCUGUUUCUAUAUGUAACUUCUGAGUAAAACCAUAAAUAAAUCAAAACUUUCAACAACGGAUCUCUUGGUUCUGGCAUCGAUGAAGAACGCAGCAAAAUGCGAUAAGUAAUGUGAAUUGCAGAAUUCAGUGAAUCAUCGAAUCUUUGAACGCACAUUGCGCCCGCCAGUAUUCUGGCGGGCAUGCCUGUUCGAGCGUCAUUUCAACCCUCAAGCCCCCGGGUUUGGUGUUGGGGAUCGGCGAGCCCUUGCGGCAAGCCGGCCCCGAAAUCUAGUGGCGGUCUCGCUGCAGCUUCCAUUGCGUAGUAGUAAAACCCUCGCAACUGGUACGCGGCGCGGCCAAGCCGUUAAACCCCCAACUUCUGAAUGUUGACCUCGGAUCAGGUAGGAAUACCCGCUGAACUUAAGCAUAUCAAUAAGCGGAGGAA